This 316-nucleotide unclassified non-coding RNA is filed under the name Hevea brasiliensis (rubber tree). The record is from RNAcentral. Lineage: Eukaryota; Viridiplantae; Streptophyta; Magnoliopsida; Malpighiales; Euphorbiaceae.
AACGAAUCUCAACUUCAACACUAGAGCAAUGUUCUGAUCAACUGUCAUUGCACCAUACCUUAGCAUGUAGUAUGUACUCUUCAAUGUCAAUGCAGUAUCCAUGUGUUGUAAUUAGAUUAAUGCCUGACAACCUUGUUAGUCAUCCAAAAAAGGUUAUCGAACUUUAUUUAUAUUUAACAGGUCUUACAUGGUGACCACUAUUAAGGUGGCUCCAUUGAGGUUGGCUUGAUCAACUUGGUGUUUCAAUGUUGUGGUGACCUUUUUGUUAUCCAGCAUCUCUUUGUAUGACGUUUACCGUGUUCACAAAUCACAAGGG